UGGCGUCCGCCAUUGCAUUGUAUUGAUUAGGCUGCUUCCUUUCUUUUCUUUUCAUGAACGUGAAGUGAAGAAGCCGGUCAAAAUCUUCUUGUUUUUGUCGUAAAGUUAAAUAAUGAUAAAUUAUAAUUUAUAUCUAAUCUACAAGAUCUAUCCUUUGUUAUUGAAGUUAUUAUUUUUGCAAUAGUUCGGCGCUUGUUAUUGUUAGUUGAAAAUCUCGAGACAUGGCGGGGGCCAGCAUGCUGGUUGGUGAUUGAGGUAAAUUUUCACCAUUGAUUCACUAUGUACGUAAACUAGGUAUUUUUUUAUUGCAGGUACUACAUCCAAGAUUCAGUUCCCACUUCCCGGACUCCAGAUCAGAACAGAACAGCCAUCAAAGGCAGCAAUGUCCAAGCACCAAGUUUGUGCGGCUGAAGAUGAAGAGGCUUAAAGGCUGACUGAGCCAGCAGCUUUCACCAGCCAGGACUUCAAGAAACGAAUUGACAGUCCCGAGUAACUGAUGGAAUCAUCUAUUGAGUCAAAUAUGCUGCAGAACUAUUCAGCUGUAAUGUAUACAGCUGUCUAUCAAAGAAGAUGAAGUCAUAUGAACAAUUAAGCAUAAAUCAUAAUUAUUGUUUUUAAUUUGUUAACAUUGAUAAUAGAUAAUUCAUUGCUGAAAUAAUGGUGUUGGCUUUAAGAGCACUGGUUUAAGUAACGCUCCAUCAUUAGAAUCAGGUUGAGUUUUUAAAUAAAGCAGUGGAAAAGACCACAAUCAAUGAAAUUUGAUGCUACAGAAAUAAUAGUGCAAUUUCGUCAAUGUAACUUUUGUCAUAAUAUAAAAAUUGUAAACCUUAAAUCGGAUUUAAGAAACAUGAACAACAAGUAUGAAUUUCUUGAGUUCAGUGGUGCUAACAUGCGACAAGUGAAAAAAUAGACAAAAUAUCGUCCAACGGAUAAAUUAUCUCGUUGGUCGCAAGUUAGCGCCACUGAAAGUUGAGAAAGAAAGAAAUUAAAGGGAUUGAAAUUGAUUGGAAAAUAUGCUUUACUAACGAAGUAAAGUAGUAUGCAGUAUGAAAAACAAGUAUUAACUUUGUGUUUUGUUGACACAAAGUUAAUACUUUUUUUUCAUACUGCAUGUUUCAAUUUUUUUUUUACUUUUCUUAUAAUUUAAUAAAUGAAAUGUUGAGUGACAAACUGAUUGUUUAUUUGAUUGAAAUACAAUAUUUUGGUAUAUUUGUAGUUCAUAUUGUCAUGAAAAGGAGCAUAAUAUUUUAAUAGUUCUUAAAUACCUCAUUGGAUAUUAAUAAAGUAAGUCUGUCGUUUAAGAGUUACCCUGGUGUAAACAUUCAUGGUUUAUUUGAUAGAAAACAAUGUAAAGUAUUUCGUACUCAAAAUGACCCACUUGUAGUUGUUUAGUGUGCUGGCGUGAUGGUUUAGUAUAGUUCAGUCUCUUGCAAAAGAAAAACAAAAUAAAGCAUAAUAUUUUACCAGUGAAAAAUAUUUUGGUUCCAAAAUAAGUCUUAUAGAGGCUGUGAUAGUUUAUACUAGAGUAAUGGUUUAUUUGAAUGAAGUUCUGGUGUAGUUCAGUGUCUUGCAAAAUAAAAUGAAAUGAAGCAUUAUAUUUUACUAAUGUAAAAUAUUUUGUUUCUGAGAUGGGUCACUCUUGUCUUAUGAGGCUUGAUCGUUUAUACUACAGUAAUGGUUUAUUUGAAUGAAGUUCUGGUGUAGUUCAGUGUCUUGCAAAAUAAAAUGAAAUGAAGCAUUAUAUUUUACUAAUGUAAAAUAUUUUGUUUCUGAGAUGGGUCACUCUUGUCUUAUGAGGCUUGAUCGUUUAUACUACAGUAAUGGUUUAUUUGAAUGAAGUUCUGGUGUAGUUCAGUGUCUUGCAAAAUAAAAUGAAAUGAAGCAUUAUAUUUUACUAAUGUAAAAUAUUUUGUUUCUGAGAUGGGUCACUCUUGUCUUAUGAGGCUUGAUCGUUUAUACUACAGUAAUGGUUUAUUUGAAUGAAGUUCUGGUGUAGUUCAGUGUCUUGCAAAAUAAAAUGAAAUGAAGCAUUAUAUUUUACUAAUGUAAAAUAUUUUGUUUCUGAGAUGGGUCACUCUUGUCUUAUGAGGCUUGAUCGUUUAUACUACAGUAAUGGUUUAUUUGAAUGAAGUUCUGGUGUAGUUCAGUGUCUUGCAAAAUAAAAUGAAAUGAAGCAUUAUAUUUUACUAAUGUAAAAUAUUUUGUUUCUGAGAUGGGUCACUCUUGUCUUAUGAGGCUUGAUCGUUUAUACUACAGUAAUGGUUUAUUUGAAUGAAGUUCUGGUGUAGUUCAGUGUCUUGCAAAAUAAAAUGAAAUUAACCAUUAUAUUUUACUAAUGUAAAAUAUUUUGUUUCUGAGAUGGGUCACUCUUGUCUUAUGAGGCUUGAUCGUUUAUACUACAGUAAUGGUUUAUUUGAAUGAAGUUCUGGUGUAGUUCAGUGUCUUGCAAAAUAAAAUGAAAUGAAGCAUUAUAUUUUACUAAUGUAAAAUAUUUUGUUUCUGAGAUGGGUCACUCUUGUCUUAUGAGGCUUGAUCGUUUAUACUACAGUAAUGGUUUAUUUGAAUAAAGUUCUGGUGUAGUUCAGUGUCUUGCAAAAUAAAAUGAAAUGAAGCAUUAUAUUUUACUAAUGUAAAAUAUUUUGUUUCUGAGAUGAGUCACUCUUGUCUUAUAAGGCUUGAUCGUUUAUACUACAGUAAUGGUUUACUUGAAUGAAAUUCUGGUGUAGUUCAGUGUCUUGCAAAAUAAAAUGAAAUGAAGCAUUAUAUUUUACCAAGGUAAAAUAUUUUGUUUCUGAAAUGGGUCAAACCAUUAAGUUUAUACUUAAUGGUUUGGCAAGUGGAUUGAUGACAUGUCCAUUUGGUGAACGAACCCUCAUUGCAGUUCCGUUAGGACUAGUCUAGUAUAAACUAUUACAGCCACUAUAUUAGAGUGAUGGUUUAUUUGAAUGAAAUUCUGGUGUAGUUCAGUGUCUUGCAAAAUAAAAACAAAAUGAAGCAUUAUAUUUUACCAAUGUAAAAUAUUUUGUUUCUGAGAUGGGUCACUCUUGUCUUAUGAGGCUUGAUCGUUUAUACUACAGUAAUGGUUUAUUUGAAUGAAGUUCUGGUGUAGUUCAGUGUCUUGCAAAAUAAAAUGAAAUGAAGCAUUAUAUUUUACCAAGGUAAAAUAUUUUGUUUCUGAAAUGGGUCAAACCAUUAAGUUUAUACGUUAAGACUAUAUGGGGUAAUAUUAUGAUUUACAAAAAUUUGCUAGUUAUAUGAUUGAUAUAGAUUCGUUGAAUCUGGCAAUAAUUUAAUCUCUCACGAGGAAAAAACAAAACUUGCGAAGUUCAACAUUCCCACUUUGUAGAUCCUUUAGAACUAUUUUAAUAUAGAAUUAUUUUAAUAUGUAAUCUGGUAGCAUUUUUGUUUUCAUCGGCCAAGAUUCAGGAUUAGCUGACUGGUACGAAAUCGAAAGUUUGUUUGUGUCGGCUGAUUUGGAAUUUGAUACUUCACUUUAUUUAAAGCUUUCGUCAUUUCCGUGUUUUGAAAUUCGAAGAUUUGUCUCUGUCAUUUUUACAUCUCCGGCAAAAAAGAUAACAAAAAAUGGCGAUUAGGAUUAUCAUCAUUCUUAUUAAAAUUUUUGAAAAGACAUUCUUGAAAUGGUGUCAUGUUUUAGUUUUUAUUUUUAGUUCGGGAUACAGUUGGUUGCGAUGUCUGUUCUGAUGUCGACGGCAGGUUCUGUUAUACCGAUGUUUGCAUAUUGACGCUGACUGCGAUGAAUGCGGUUGAUAUAGCUCAUUCGUGACCUGCCACGGCUCUUGUGCUUUCGACCUUUCCUUGCAGCAGUUGUCUCGUUGUGUAAAUUGCUGUUUAUUCCCCAGUUCUUGGAGGAUUGAGAUGUUGGUUUGAAACUGUAUCCAGGAUAUGGCAGGCAAAUGCAAAUUCAAAAUUAAUAUAUUUCAAUUAAGCUCUACAAGCACUUUUGACACGUUGAGUUAUGACAUUAUUUAAUGGUGGUAGGUACAGUUGAAAACUUUAAAUUAAAGUUACUAGGAAUUCUUCUACACCACAUUUCUAGAGCGUUUUGUCUUCUUUUUUCACUUUCUCCCAGAGCCCAAGUCUCAUCACUAUAAAGAAAUCUCGUUCAAAAAAUGCAAACUGGGGCAACUGAAUUGUUUAUGUAGACAUUCUUGUCUUUCCAAGUUUUAUGAAACUUAAAGUCGUAAACUUAAGAUUAAGGCUACGAGUGCUAGGAUUCCAAAUUGGCUGAAUCUGAGAAGAAACCCACAUCGAAAUCUGCCAGGUUAAUCACAAACAAUCUCAUUAAAAAUGUUAAAACUUGGAACGGAAUACAGUUUUUUACAAAUGUUACUCAAUGUACUGUGUGUUACGUCAAUACUUCCUUCUAUUAGGUGUUACAUAUAUUAUUGUAAUUUGAAUGGCAAUUUAUUAUAUUAAAUCCUGUGUGCGAAGACCUUCGAGCCUCGAUUGUUCUCGAUUGUAUCCUUGAUACGCUCGGUGUUGAAGCGUCGCAAGUCGCAUGUCUGCGAUUUAGAGAUCUGUCUUUUAAUCUAAUGGUAUUUUAACGCGUCUGUUGAGGACUGCAAUCUCAUUUCUUGUCUUUCUUUUAGAGCUUGAGUGUAUGGUCUGAGAACUUGUUAGUUCUUUUUGUACAGUGGGUUUUGAAAAACUUAAACCCGACCGUUUGGACAUUUUCCACAAGCCUGUUGUUUAGAUCAUCCACAUCAACGCAAUCAGCUAUGCAAUCGAUGCGGUUCUGUAACUCCAGUUGAAAGCUCUCGGUGAUUUGGAUUUGGGCACGAGAAGGUCGGAGCUUAGAGUUCACCAGUUUGUACCGUUUCAGCUGUAAGUUGAUAUUCAAAGUUCCUCUUACCAUUCGAUGAUCACUACCGGUUUUGACUCUGUUGAUCACAGAUACAUUUUUGAAUAUAUGCCGUUUGGUAUACAAGAUGAAAUCUAUCUCGUUUUUUGUGGAACCAUCAGGACUCUUCCAGGUCCAUUUCCUCUGUGGCGGCUUCCUGAAGAAGGAGUUCAUCAUAAAGAGACCCUCCUUCUCCAUGAAGUCAGCCAAUAUUUGGCCCCUCUGGUUCCGAUGCCCAUAACCAAAUUGCGCCACUCUCAGCUCUGAACCGCUCCUCACACCCAGUUUUGCAUUGAAAUCCCACAUCACAAUAUUGUAGUAGGAGUGCGUGACAUGUAUGGCUUUUGAUAUAUCUUCAUACAAUAUCUCUACCUCCUCGUCGGUUUGUUUCGAGGUCGGCGCGUAAACCUGUAUAAUCUUCAUCGAAUACCGAUUGGUAAUUCGGAGAGCGAGGUACGCUACCCUACUCGACACACUCUCGACUCGUACAACAUUGUUCACGAGGGAUUUGCGGACGAUAAACGUUAGUUCGGUCCGUAAAGUGCGUGCGUUAAAUGUUGCCAGGUCUAGUCGUCAGGGCUGGCAGCGGAAUCUCCCCCGGAGAUUCUUGACACCCCUGGCCCCACCGUUACCACAACCGCUGCCAGAGCCGGGAAUAGCGGGGCCACCGGGGACUAGGGGUUGUUUGUGUUUGGCUUUGUCCAUAUAGGUUAAUGCCCAAAGAAUGACCACGCUGGGCAUGCGGGUUGGUCAUUCGCAGAGCUGGAUUUUUCCGCACCGCUGGAUUUUCAUAAAUGGUACAAGCCGGUGUCGUUGCUGCCCGACACCGGCCUGUGCCAUUUAUAAAAAUCCAGCCAUUUAUUUACUUUUAUACUGUGGUCCUUCGGAAUGUUCGUCUCCCAUGGCAUAGUAAGCUCUACAAGUACUAUUCGGUUUGGAUAAAAGGAAAAUGUCUGGUCUAGAUCUCGAAAUAGCGACAUCCACUGGGAUUUUAUAAUGUUUCUCAUACGUAUCCAUUAAUAAUGUCCAAUCAGGUGCAGAACCUAUGAUUGAGUAAGGUUUACUAGAUGAUUUUGUUAUUGAACCUGUUUUGACGAAGUUAAUUUGUCUUUUAUUUAUAGUCGAUGCUUUUUGAGAUCUAGCUAGCUACUUAUAGCUUCACGUAUAAUUUGAAGUACCCUAUCACGUGAGUAAAGACCCCUAUCCAGGAGCACCAUGCAUCCAACCAACAAGUGCCUUGCUGUCCCUAUUGCCUCACCACAAGUAUAGCAAGAUUUUUCAGUGACUUUCCCCCAUCGUACUAAGUUGCUCUGAUCUGAGAGAGACAUUUGAAAGGCAUUAACAUAGUAUUUUAAUAAGGCAGGAGACCAGUCAUAUAGCAAUGUGCGCCACUUUAGUGCAACCGGGAUGCAGUACUCAACUAAGGAUAACCACUCAUUUUGAAUUUCUAAAUUCAUUGCGUGCUUUUUGUAGCUGUCAUUUUCAUCUUGUUGUAAAAAGGAUUAUACUAUGUCUCGGUCUCCUUUUUUCUUAAGAUAAUUAAAUUCUUAAAUUUUUGCUUAAAGAACGAAUUCAUCAUGAAGAGGUUGUUCGUCUGGCCUACCAACCCACAUUUGGCCUCUGAUAUUUCUACUUCCAUAUCCAUGUUGUCCUAUAACUGACUAGGAACCGUUCUGAGUGCUCAAUUUCGCGUUGAAAUCACCCAUAAUAAUGUUGAAAUGGGAUUUGGGUGUUGUUCAAGGCUCUGCUGAUAUCCUCGUACAUUAUUUCGACGUCAGUAUCUAAGUGCUUAGAUGUUGGUACAUGUACUUGGAUAACCUUAAGAGUCUCUUGGUUAUUUUUAUUACGAGAUACGUGACCCGUGAAGAGGACUGAUAUUUCUAGAUGUUAUCAACGAGAGCUCUAUUGACAAGGAAUCCGACGCCGCUCUGUGGUGGCCUGUCAUCUUGCCUAUGGUAGAUAAGGUGUCUUGAUUCUAGUGUCUUGGUGUCCUCCCCUUCUCUACAGACUUCACAUAACCCCAGAAUAUUCCAUUUUAUGUUCUCCAGUUUAGCCUCCAACUCUGUCAUGCUUUCGUCGAGUCUUAAGGUCUGUCCGUUAUACGUUGCCAAGGUCGGUUGUUUUUGGUAGCCUGUCGUCACCCAGAGAUUCUUACCAUCCCCUGUUUCACUAUACCUUUGACUGUUACCAUAGUCAGAAGUAGAGCCGCCGGGAACUGGGGACUUCUUUUCGGUUUGCCACUAAUUAGGUUAUAUGUCCUAAUCACCACACUGGCUGGGCAUGUGGGUUGGCAAUCGCAGAGCCAGACUGGGUGUCGCUGCUGCCUGACACCGGUCUGUGCCUAUUAUUUUGGAAUGGUAAACUGAUAAUUGUUUCCGCCAUUGUUCGGAUGCCAGAGCCUCGUUUGUUAAUCAGCAGAAGAUACCACGGGCAGAUGAGGUUGUCUGUUAGAGUGCUAAGGUGGAGGUGCACUCCCUUAUCCUCCUGCGGAGAUCCCUAGUUGAUUGGCUUUUAUAUGAUUUGGCGUUAUUGGAUUGAUACAUUGAAGUGCUAAAAUGCCUUUACGGCGCUGCGUUUAUGUCGUUCAAAAGUACAAGGCGCGUCUACAAGACUGAUCCGAUUACAUCGAGCCGAAACUGUUUCCGGAUGCUUUGGAAGAUGUCUUUAAAACGCUAGAAUUAUGGCAUCAACAUAAAUGGCGAGCAAACUUCACACCUUCGCUUUGCCGAUGAUAAGGUUCAUCAUCACAAGUUCGCUGCAGGAACUUCAAAACCUGCUGGAUAGCCUUCAUGUUACCUCCCAACGUGUUAGUCUCCGGAUGAAUCUGGGUAAGACCAAGGUCAUGUUAAAUGAUUUAAUCGUUCUGGGACCUAUUACUGUUGAUGGAUACCAUCAAAGCUGUUUCUGAAUAUGCUUACCAUAAAACUUUAAAAUGAGGUAUUAGGUAAGCAUAUUCAGAAACGUAUUACAAAAUUUUGUUGAAUGCGGGUUAUAGGUUUCAUCGUAUGUAUUCAUUUUAUUAGAAGUGUUAUGUUCCUGUGUGGUGUGGUGUAUCCUGUGUUAAUUGAUGACGGGAUGUAUUGAUCGCUGCUGUGUGAAUCAGAAAAAUGUGAUGAAAAUCGAGACCAGUUUGUUUAUGUCGGUUCAUUUGCAAUUUGAUACUUCACUUUAUUUACACUUCACCAAGACUCGUCCUAAAAAUGCAAACUGUGAGCGGGUAAUUGAAUUUUUUAUGGAGUCAUCGUUGUCUUUCCUCGUUUUAUGACAAUUAAAGUCGUAAACUUAAUAUUAAAGCUACGAUUCCAAAUUAGCUGAGUCUGAGAAGAAUCCCAUAACAAACUUUAUCAGGUCAAUCAAAUCUCAUCAAAAAUGUUAAAACUUGGAACGAAAUACAUUUUUUUAUAAAAUUCACUUAAUUAUUAAAUGGCAAUUUAUUAUAAUUUUACUGAUACUUUCUAGCGGAAGCUCUUUUACGUCUGCAUUUUUUUAAUUUUUAAAGUUUCUGACAACAAUACCCUUGACCCAAACCCAAACCAACUCAAUGGGAUUGAGCUCACAGUAGUAUGGUGGUAUGCGAAGUAUAGUUACACAAUUUUGUGCGGCUAGAUUGUCUAUGAUAUAAGUAUUAUAUUUAAAUUUUUCUUUAUUAACAAUUUGUAACAAAUUCACUUUUGAGCAUAGUCUCGUCAAAUGUCAAUUUUUUUGACAAUAGCCAGGCCUGAACAUCGGCUUUUCUCUAUGAGGUUGUUGGAAUUUUUUCCAUUUUUCUUUAGUGAUAAGGAGCAAUUAUCUAUGACAAUUACCGAAUCUUUUUUAAUUUAGGUAAAAUAAUUUGGAACCAUUUCUCAAACACACCGUUCAUAUCACUAUGAUAGUCUUAUUACUUUUUUUACUUUCUAAUAAGAGCAAUCACCGACCAAUGUGGCAAAUAAUUAUUAAUCGUCUGCCUUUAUCAGGAGCCAUCGGUAGACGCCAUAUUUUUGACGCCAUAAAACAAUUUCUGUCGUCAAAAACGUCAAUCAUGUUUCUGAAUGUUAUCUAAGGUCCAGUAUUUAUUGGUCUUUUUAUAUUUAAAUUUUGUUUAUAUUAUUAUCUUGAAGCUCUGUAUGGCAUUUGCGGGAGUAGCUAUGCUGUAAGCCGGAGACAAAAUUUGAGCAAUUUGAUAAGCUGUUAUCACUCGACCAGGAUGGUAACGCAUCCAUUUUUCACACUCUUGUGCAUAAAAAAUCUCGAGACUGUUAUGGAUGCAGCGAUGGAGCUGCUGAGUUUUGUGUCUGCUGUGAGGUGAGAUUGUCAAGGCGUGAAUGUGGUUUUCCCGGAUGAAAUGGACCGCUCCUAAGGUGCAGCGGGACGUGUGGUUAUCUAGUAUUACUAAUACUGGACUGUCUUUGCUAGGCUUUGCGUGGUCUUUCAAAUGAGAUAACCAGUCAACAAACAAAGAGCUGUUCAUGUAACUUGUGAUAGAGGAAGGUAGGGCUCCAUCUAAAAGCUCGGCCUUCAUCCGUUUGCGUAGAAAAAUGAAGGCAGGUGUCACAUUGAUGUUACGUUCAGCAUUGGAAAUGUUGUUGAUGCAUUUCAUUCAUUUUGUAGCUUAACUUGGGACAUUCCGGUCUCGUCUAUGUUAUAAAUUGCAUGAGGAGGGAACUUGUAAGUGUCUAACAACUUCGUCAGAUUUUCAAAAUAGCGAUCACAAUGAGGCUUAUUAAAACCUAUUGCAUAUUAAUCUUCUUUAAUAGUGGAAGUGCUGGAUUUAGAGACCAAUAACUUAUUGGUCUCUAAAUCCAGCAAUAAGUUACUAUAUGAGCUUUAUUUAAUUAAUUACUUUAGAACAAUCAUAUUACAGACAUAGAGUCACAGACAUAAGACCGAGUACAGAAUAAUACAGAACAUGAACCAUAGAUAGUGGUUGCCAUGGAGGUUAGUGGUAGUAGGUCGUAUUUUCAAAAAAGCCGAAGCCGCUCUGUACCUGCCAUUUUUUUUCUUGUUGAAACGAUGUUCUAAUCCAAUCCUUUCAGCAAAAUCAUAAGCAAUUUCUCGUAAUUUUUGAGUGGUCAAUACAUAGAACUUUGUAUGUUCAGGCAUACACUGGGGCCAAUAAAUUUUUCAAUUUAGGCUAUUAGAAUGUUUAAUAUGCUUGUACAAUGACAAAUUUGAGACUAAUUAGCACGCAUACAAAGAAUGUUCCUUGUAAUGCCUGCUAUAUUAAUUUAGCAAGCAUAUGAUAGACAACUUUGGUGUUAAUUCUUCUGACGGCUGACGGCCGCAACAAUCAUACUCGUACUUUUUGAUAUCACAGUUGCACAGCCAUAUUUCCAUUUCAGAGGAGAAAGAUUGCCCGAUCAUUAAUAUCCAGCGUAUUCUUAAAAAAACGUUUUGCAAACUCGUUAGUCUUAACAGGGGGAUUGCAAUGAAAUGCGUGAUUUUUAUGAUGUGGUUUCCUUGUUCUCCCCUUCACAAUAUACCAAUAUUUUGGGUUUGGAUAUACUCAUGGAAAUAUACUCCCAUUGCAUUUUGAUACUACCCAAUGCCCAAUAAUUCUCAAAUAAUAUUUUCCGUUCACCUUCAGAAACAUUUCUCUCCACAUGGUUCUUUCAUGGUUCUUUUGAGUUCAAGCAAGAAAAUCAGACAAAAAAGAAAGGUGGACACCAGGUCGACCAGUAUUACGCAGAUUUAUUAAUCACAUUUCUCCGCCAACUAGCUUCAUUUUGCUUACGUUUUCUUCGUAUUUUAGCUUUCGGACUUGGCGUAUUCGUGAAAAAGGAAUUUCAAGAAAUGAUGGAGAUAGGGAUAUGCAGGCCUUCACCUAGUACGACUCGAUCACGCAGAGAAACUCCAAGCAUAGCUCGCUCUUUCGCCCGCUGAGUGAUUUUAAGCCUUCUAAAAAGGCUCAUACUUAGCAACCAAGUUUCGGAUCCGUAGGUUAUCACUGGCAACAAACACUAUUCAAAGACUUUCGUCCUCAGGCAUUGAGGAAUGUCGGACGAGAAAAUGUCGUGAAGUUUCCCGAACGCUGCCCAGCCGAGCUGGAUUCGGCGAUUCACCUCUUUCUCGAAAUUUGACCUAACCUUACUGGACUGUGUGUCCUAGGUAAAACUCUGUUGAGGUCGUUGAGUGAUUUACUCACCAUUGAUGUUGAUGCCAAAUCCGUUCCAGUCCAAAAGUUUAAAGACGUCUUCCAAUGCGGCGGUAAAUAGCUUCGGACAGAUCACAUCUCCCUGCCGCACUCCUCGGCCAAUUAAAUUGGUCUCGUAGUCUGAUCCUGUAUACGGACUGACAUAGUGGCGUUUUCAUACAAACACUUCAACACUUGGAUGUACCUGUAGUCGAUCCGGCAUCUCUGCAAAGAUCUCGGGCUUAGAAGUUAAGAUAUUGCCCUGAUCGGUCUUCAAACGGGUCAACUGUCUUUGUCCAAUAGACAGAUCUCUCGCGAACACUUUUGAGCCUCGAUUAUUCUCGAUUGUAUCCGUGAUACGCUCGGUAUUGAAGCGUCGCGCGUCGCAUGUCUGCGAUUUAGAAAUCUGUCUAUUAAUCUGACGGUACUUUGACGGGUCUGUUGAAGACUGCAAUUUCAUUUCUUGUCUCUCCUCCAUGAGCUUGAGUGUAUGGUCCGAGAAUUUGUUGGUUAAUGGAAGUUUUGAAAAACUUAAUCCGACCGUAUGGGCAGUUUCCACAAGCUUGUUGUGUAGAUCGUCCACAUCAACGCAAUCUAAGCGGUUUUGCAAUUCCAGUUGAAAGCUCUCGGGGUUUUGGAUUUGGGCACGAGUAGGACGAAACUUAGAUUUCACCAGUUUGUACCGUUCUAGCUGUAAGUUGUUAAACUAGGUUCAUUGUUCGGGUGGCACUGUCACUUUUUUGAUUACUAUUUUUUGUUAUUGCGUAUUAACGCACUCUAAGCUAAGCUGGCACUUAUUCCUGGCACCGUAGCGACAAACCGCUCGUAACUCCUUGUUUGGAGCUGUGAUGCGAUGUUUGCAGUAACGCCAGUUGAUAAUGCAUUGGUUAGCGUUACAAUGCGCUGACGGUAGCCUCUACUUCUUUUGAGAGUUAAUGAUUGUCUUGAUGAUAUUGUUGGAACUCGCUUCGUAAAUUGCGCUAUUGUGCGCUAUAAUGAAAGCGUGCUGCUUUGUUCAAUGUUUUCGCAGGUAUAAAGUGUAGCUGUAGGGUGUAAUUGAAGGGACGCGUAGCUAAUCUCCGGCUUCUAGAUUUGAAUUUCUAGAAUGUCAAGUGUGGGUAUCUCAUAUGUUGAAUUUCACGGUUCGUUUUACUGUGCGACUAGAUCUUGUUUUAAGUGGUAACGGCUGGCUCGGCGUAAUGCAGAUAUUGGGCUCUGCUUUUCUGUUCCCUGGGCUUGAGAACUCUAUAUCGUCUACAAUUAAUACAUAAGUGACACUGUGACUUUUUUGUUGUUACAAUCUAAAGUGUAUAUGAGAUGGCACCAACGAUCAUCUUGUCUAUGAUCGUCGUUUCUAACAAAUAUGUGGGAACAAUUUAUUAGGUGUUUGUCACCGACGCGUAUUUAUAAUAUUAUGUACAGUACAUGAAUUUAAAUAAAUGGCGAAACGGAACGUGUGUGGUGAAAAACGUCACUCACUGACAGUAAAAUCAAAACGUCACUCGUUGACAACUAAUUUGAAAACUAACGACUCUUCCUCCAACCGAGCAACGGUCACCACACACGUCUCCAAAGAAAUAAGCCGAUUUUACCAAAAGCUGUGUUUUUAUUGAGCCUGGCCUUUACAGUGUUGAUGAAUAAAUAUUUUGCUGUCCCGCGUUCAUAAGUCUGUAUGUGUGAGGUUAGAAACGGUUGAGAGGGUAUCAAUUAAUAGUUUUAUGAACUCAUGAACGCUAAUAUUUGUUUUAGUUCUUGAGCUAAAUAUAUCGCUUAAUAACCUAACACUACAUCAAUAUAAAAAUUAUGAAGGACAAUCCUAGGUCUGAUUUUAUUGCUGUACGCAACCCUAAAAUAAUUAUUAGCAAAUUAUAUGGGAAUAAAACAUUUUCGCCACAUGAUUGAAGACAGAGAGCUAACGGUACUAACAGACCACAAACCAUUAACUUUUGCUUUCAAAAAUAUGCGUAGUACGUGUAUGUAGCGUUGUGUGACCGCGAAUAUUGCGCGAUCGUCGAUUGGUCCUCCGUAUAAAAUAUAAUCGGCCGUGAGUUUGCUUCGCCUUUGUGUGGCCAAAACAGAGAUGACAGCGCCCGUAUCAAUGAAAAAAUGUGUUCCGUUUACGACACCGGCUAAGUUGUUAGAUAUGCAAGUCGGUGUCGGAAUUAGUUUUCUGACUGUUUAUUACGGUUAUGAAUGUCACCAUGUUCCGUGCGUUCGCUCCGUAAUUUAAAUGGUAAAAGCACUUAUAACCUAAUUCAUCUGGCUGAGCAGUUUGAUUUAUAAAAAGUUGCCUAUUUCUAAAACCUACACUAUUAUCACGGCUUUUUGAGCGAGCCCUCGAUGGACCCGGGAAACCCGGGUUGUUUAUUUGAGUAUUUAACGCUGCGAUUUGUUCUUUAAGCACGUUAAUUCAUAAUUUUCAAUGGCUUGUAUCAGAAUCAGAUCUUGAGAUUGGCGAUAACUCUGGUGCUCUGGUAUUCUCUAAAAUUUCGUCGGCUGCUGCCGCUAUGCUAUCUAAUUUAACCUCCCCUGUAUCGCAUGCUGUGAGAACCGCUCUUAUUGACUGUGGGAGAAGACCGGUCCAUAGUAGUUUAAGAGUUUGCUCGGGAAUACGGUUUUUUCCGAGAUUACGCAUGCGUCUUAAUAAUUGCGAUGGUUUUUGAUGGCCUAACUCAAUCUCGUUCAGUUGUUGAUUGAGUUGACGUGUUUCUGACUCCUCACAAGUAGAAAUAAGCCUAUUUUGCAAAGUUUUAAAAUUAGUUCGUGUCAGGCAUAUUGUAUAACAAGUCACUUAUGUCACUUAAUUUGUUUUAACCCAACCUAGCUAUUAAUAAUUGACUUUUAUGGAGAUCCAAAGGUAAGUACCUUUUAAGGCUCCACGAUGGCGUUGAAUUGGUGGAACGAUAUCCGUGGUCGCUCCCGCCAGAAGUCUGGUAUUCUCGAUUUCUUGGUGAUAGCUGUCAUGUGUGGCUGUGUAGACUGUUCCGGAAGCGCUUGUGCUUUAUUUCGUUUAUUAAAAGAUGAAGUUACGUUUCAUAUGUAAGUAUUUAUUUAUAUCAAAUUUAUAAUAAAAAUGUCGUAUAAUUAAAUUUAUAAUGUAUUUCGGCCAUGAUCCCGACUGCCAUAUCUUGUUACAAAUGUCUUGGAAGAUAUGGACACCCAUAUCAUCCAAAGUCUUUAUAGUUUCGAUUGGGAUAGCAUCACCCCCUGUAGCUUUUCCGUAUUUUUUACCUCUUAACCAUGCUGAAGAGACCCGAGUUUUCUUGUUUUUCUGUAAUGAGUUUUUAUUUCCUUGGGCAUGCAUGGCUUUGAUAUUUACUGAGUUCACGGAAAACGAAGAUUUUGCAGGCUGUAUUUGUCUGUCAGGGGUUAUCUCUUUAAUUAAUCGUGCAGAAGUCCAAGGCUGAGGUAAAAUCUUAGAAACUAUACCUUUACCACCAAACAAACAAACAAAAAGAGAAAGUUGCAGAACCGUCCACUAUUUCGGAUUGUAAUUUUACAAGGCAGCCAAGUUUGAAACGCAAAUCUGCACACUUUGGCGUUCCUCCGUCCAGUAUUUCGGAUUGUAAUUUUACAAGGCAGCCAAGUUUGAAACGCAAAUCUGCACACUUUGGCGUUCCUUCGUCUAGUGUUUCGGAUUGUAACUUUACAAGGCAGCCAAGUUUGAAAUGCAAAUCUGCACACGAUGGCGUUCCUCCGUCCAGUAUUUCGGAUUGUAAUUUUACAAGGCAGCCAAGUUUGAAACGCAAAUCUGCACACGAUGGCGUUCCUCCGUCCAGUGUUUCGGAUUGCGACUUUACAAGGUAGCCAAGUUUGAAACGCAAAUCUGUAGAAGUAUACAAAUGAAAACUUUAAAAUGAAGUUAACUACCUCUUUUUCCUGUUUCGUGGUAAACAUUGAUCUACUUGUAUAACCUACGGGAGAAUUUUUACCAGCUUUCGUUUUUUUGUACGAUGUAUCGAUUACGACAAUGUAAUGUCGUGUGGCAGAUUUUCAAGUUCUCUGGUUACCGUUUUUACUUUUUUCAAUCUUGUAUAACUACAUUGGCAGCUUAGCGUUUUUCGUAAAUAGAAUAAAGCGAAAAAAAAUUCUGCCAACGAAGUGGUUAAAUCUCAUGAAGGUAAAUACAUUGUGUUUUAUUUAUCUAACCUAUUUAGAAUUAUUGUUUGCGUUCUCAAUAGAAUCCGAAUCUUUUUCCUGUUCCGUGGUAAACAUUGAUCUACUUGUAUAACCUACGGGAGGAUCUUUACCAGGUGUCGUUUUUUUGUACGAUGUAUCGAUUACGACGAUGUAAUGUCAUGUGGCAGAUUUUCAAGUUCUCUGGUUACCGUUUUUACUUUUUUCCAUCUUGUAUGACCACAUUGGCAGCUUGGCAUUUUUUGUAAAAAGACCAAAGCGACAAAAAAUUCUACCGAUAAAGUGGUUAAAUGUCAUGAAGGUAAAUACAUGGUGUUUUAUUUAUCUGACCUAUUUAAAAUUAUUGUUUGCGUUCCCAAUAGAAGGAAAACUUUAAAAUGAAGUUAACUACCUCUUUUUCCUGUUCCGUGGUAAACAUUGAUCUACUUGUAUAACCUACGGGAGGAUCUUUACCAGCUUUCGUUUUUUUUGUACGAUGUAUCGAUUACGACGAUGUAAUGUCAUGUGGCAGAUUUUCAAGUUCUCUGGUUACCGUUUUUACUUUUUUCCAUCUUGUAUGACCACAUUGGCAGCUUGGCGUUUUUUGUAAAAAGACCAAAGCGACAAAAAAUUCUACCGAUAAAGUGGUUAAAUGUCAUGAAGGUAAAUACAUGGUGUUUUAUUUAUCUGACCUAUUUAGAAUUAUUGUUUGCGUUCCCAAUAGAAGGAAAGCCUACCUUCAUUAUAACUGAAUGACAUAUAUGAAUAAAUGAGAACUUAUUCAUAAAUGUGCUCCGCUCCUGAUACUUAUACUAUAUUCCAAUGCAAUCAUAACCGAUUUACAUUUUUUUUUGAAUUGCAGAAACUAUACCUUUACCACCAAACAAACAAACAAAAAGAGAAAGUUGCAGAACCGUCCAGUAUUUCGGAUUGUAAUUUUACAAGGCAGCCAAGUUUGAAACGCAAAUCUGCACAUUUUAGCGUUCCUCCUUAAAGUAUUUCGGAUUGUAAUUUUACAAGGCAGCCAAGUUUGAAACGCAAAUCUGCACACGAUGGCAUUCCUCCGUCCAGUGUUUCGGAUUGCAACUUUACAAGGCAGCCGAGUUUGAAACGCAAAUAUGUACACUUUGCCGUUCCUCCGUCCAGUGUUUCGGAUUGUAACUUUACAAGGCAGCUAAGUUUGAAAUGCAAAUCUGCACACGAUGACGUUCCUCCGUCCAUUGUUUCGGAUUGCGACUUUACAAGGCAGCCAAGUUUGAAACGCAAAUCUGCACACAUUUUCGUUGACAUUCAGGUGAAUAAGGUCAAUAUUAACUAAUCUAUACUAAUAUUAUAAAGCUGAAGAGAGAAUACCACCAAACAAAGAAAAAGAGGAAGUUGCAGAACCGACCAGUGUUUUGAAAAGUUAUUGUUGUGCUAUCUUGAGGGUGCCUUUGGUAAAGGCUUUACAAUUUGAGGAUUAAACACAGCUGAAGCAUUUGUCUUUCCUGAUGUUAAUUGAAGUGCAUGGGCACUAUUAAUAGUCACAGAGGCAGCCUGAGAUACAUCACCUUGAUCUGUGGCAGAUUGUUGAGAUGGUUCACCAAUCUGACCCGAUGUUGAAGUCUUUUAUUUUCAAAUUUAUUUGAGGUAAUAUUUGAAUGCUACGAUUCCGGGAAUUUCAUAAAUUGACAUUGUUUUUCCCGAAUUAUUUCGUAGCCAGUUGUCUUGAGCAUGAGCACAGUACGAUUUAAAUAGCCCAUUGAUGCCCACAUCCAGUGGCUGUAGCCUGUGUGUGCAGUGAGAUGGGAACGACAUCAUUUUUAUUGAGUUUGCUUUAGCUUUCUCAACUUCGUUGGUGUCUAUGUGUGACGAGGGAUUGUCUGUUAUUUAAUAGUAACACUGGUUCUAUCUGGAGUGGGUUUCGUGAACUUGAUCAAGUGAUCCAUAUAUGUGAGGAAUUCAGUGGCAGUCAUCCAUCCUGAUUUAUUCCCAGCUUCAAUUGACUCAGAGGGCCCAUCUCUUAAAACAAGUCUUUAAAUUUUAAACGGAGAAAGACAAACAGGUGGAACCGUAUUUCCUGCGACACUUGCUACUAACUAAAGUCCCACGCUCUGCGAAAACUAUAGCACCAACCUUUGUUUUGUGCCUUUUUAAGCUACUAUCUUCUCCGGCUUUAAAACAGUUGUGACUCCAGUCUCGUCCAGGUUCCAUAUUCUGGAAGGAGAUAUCUUAUAUUAGUAAAGAAUAUCGCCGAGUUUUGUUAAAAAAAUCAUCUAUUUCCUUUUUAACACGCUUAUAUUAGCUUCACUUGGUAGAAUCUCAAUUUGGCACACGCUCUGAGUUCUAAUGACAAUACAUGACUAGAAAAGAAACGUUAUACAAAUCCAAUAUGGCGGCCUCCUCAAGAUGGCGAACAGGCUAUUUGAAAUUAAAGAAAGAAAGAAAGAAAUAUCUUUAUUUUUAGGCAGUGACACACAUUACAAUAAUAAAUUUUAAAUAGUUAACUUAUAGCUAAGAAGAAGAACGCCCUGCAAUAUGUGGCAUAACCUAGAAAAAGGCCCUAACUCAGCAUUGCACCCCCAUGGUAUGGGUAUCAAAUGAAAAGGUUCUCUGCUAGAAAUACGAGAAAUAUCCAUUUUUAAUUAUUAGUGCGUGCUAAAAGCGUGUUUUUUAAACUUUUUUAUUGUUAUAAUUCCAGUGAACUAGUCCGCCUCAGCUUCUCGAUUCUUAUGCCACGUAGGAGGAAUGUUUCCCAAAGAAUAUUUAACUGCACAUUCAUACGCAAGUCUUCGUUACUCUCCUGGCAGCAAACCGAAGUAUACUAAUGAAAACUUUAAAAUGAAGUUAACUACCUCUUUUUCCUGUUCCGUGGUAAACAUUGAUCUACUUGUAUAACCUACGGGAGGAUUUUUACCAGCUUUCGUUUUUUUUGUACGAUGUAUCGAUUACGACAAUGUAAUGUCGUGUGGCAGAUUUUCAAGUUUUCUGGUUACCGUUUUUACUUUUUUCAAUCUUGUAUGACUUCAUUGGCAGCUAAGCGUUUUUCGUAAAUAGAAUAAAGCGAAAAAAAAUUCUGCCAACGAAGUGGUUAAAUCUCAUGAAGGUAAAUACAUUGUGUUUUAUUUAUCUAACCUAUUUAGAAUUAUUGUUUGCGUUCUCAAUAGAAUCCGAAUCUUUUUCCUGUUCCGUGGUAAACAUUGAUCUACUUGUAUAACCUACGGGAGGAUCUUUACCAGGUGUCGUUUUUUUGUACGAUGUAUCGAUUACGACGAUGUAAUGUCAUGUGGCAGAUUUUCAAGUUCUCUGGUUACCGUUUUUACUUUUUUCCAUCUUGUAUGACCACAUUGGCAGCUUGGCGUUUUUUGUAAAAAGACCAAAGCGACAAAAAAUUCUAUCGAUAAAGUGGUUAAAUGUCAUGAAGGUAAAUACAUGGUGUUUUAUUUAUCUGACCUAUUUAAAAUUAUUGUUUGCGUUCCCAAUAGAAGGAAAACUUUAAAAUGAAGUUAACUACCUCUUUUUCCUGUUCCGUGGUAAACAUUGAUCUACUUGUAUAACCUACGGGAGGAUCUUUACCAGCUUUCGUUUUUUUUGUACGAUGUAUCGAUUACGACGAUGUAAUGUCAUGUGGCAGAUUUUCAAGUUCUCUGGUUACCGUUUUUACUUUUUUCCAUCUUGUAUGACCACAUUGGCAGCUUGGCGUUUUUUGUAAAAAGACCAAAGCGACAAAAAAUUCUACCGAUAAAGUGGUUAAAUGUCAUGAAGGUAAAUACAUGGUGUUUUAUUUAUCUGACCUAUUUAGAAUUAUUGUUUGCGUUCCCAAUAGAAGGAAAGCCUACCUUCAUUAUAACUGAAUGACAUAUAUGAAUAAAUGAGAACUUAUUCAUAAAUGUGCUCCGCUCCUGAUACUUAUACUAUAUUCCAAUGCAAUCAUAACCGAUUUACAUUUUUUUUUGAAUUGCAGAAACUAUACCUUUACCACCAAACAAACAAACAAAAAGAGAAAGUUGCAGAACCGUCCAGUAUUUCGGAUUGUAAUUUUACAAGGCAGCCAAGUUUGAAACGCAAAUCUGCACACUUUAGCGUUCCUCCUUAAAUUAUUUCGGAUUGUAAUUUUACAAGGCAGCCAAGUUUGAAACGCAAAUCUGCACACGAUGGCAUUCCUCCGUCCAGUGUUUCGGAUUGCAACUUUACAAGGCAGCCGAGUUUGAAACGCAAAUAUGUACACUUUGCCGUUCCUCCGUCCAGUGUUUCGGAUUGUAACUUUACAAGGCAGCUAAGUUUGAAAUGCAAAUCUGCACACGAUGACGUUCCUCCGUCCAUUGUUUCGGAUUGCGACUUUACAAGGCAGCCAAGUUUGAAACGCAAAUCUGCACACAUUUUCGUUGACAUUCAGGUGAAUAGGUCAAUAUUAACUAAUCUAUACUAAUAUUAUAAAGCUGAAGAGAGAAUACCACCAAACAAAGAAAAAGAGGAAGUUGCAGAACCGACCAGUGUUUUGAAAAGUUAUUGUUGUGCUAUCUUGAGGGUGCCUUUGGUAAAGGCUUUACAAUUUGAGGAUUAAACACAGCUGAAGCAUUUGUCUUUCCUGAUGUUAAUUGAAGUGCAUGGGCACUAUUAAUAGUCACAGAGGCAGCCUGAGAUACAUCACCUUGAUCUGUGGCAGAUUGUUGAGAUGGUUCACCAAUCUGACCCGAUGUUGAAGUCUUUUAUUUUCAAAUUUAUUUGAGGUAAUAUUUGAAUGCUACGAUUCCGGGAAUUUCAUAAAUUGACAUUGUUUUUCCCGAAUUAUUUCGUAGCCAGUUGUCUUGAGCAUGAGCACAGUACGAUUAUAUAGCCCAUUGAUGCCCACAUCCAGUGGCUGUAGCCUGUGUGUGCAGUGAGAUGGGAACGACAUCAUUUUUAUUGAGUUUGCUUUAGCUUUCUCAACUUCGUUGGUGUCUAUGUGUGACGAGGGAUUGUCUGUUAUUUAAUAGUAACACUGGUUCUAUCUGGAGUGGGUUUCGUGAACUUGAUCAAGUGAUCCAUAUAUGUGAGGAAUUCAGUGGCAGUCAUCCAUCCUGAUUUAUUCCCAGCUUCAAUUGACUCAGAGGGCCCAUCUCUUAAAACCAAGUCUUUAAAUUUUAAACGGAGAAAGACAAACAGGUGGAACCGUAUUUCCUGCGACACUUGCUACUAACUAAAGUCCCACGCUCUGCGAAAACUAUAGCACCAACCUUUGUUUUGUGCCUUUUUAAGCUACUAUCUUCUCCGGCUUUAAAACAGUUGUGACUCCAGUCUCGUCCAGGUUCCAUAUUCUGGAAUAAGAUAUCUUAUAUUAGUAAAGAAUAUCGCCGAGUUUUGUUAAAAAAAAUCAUCUAUUUCCUUUUUAACACGCUUAUAUUAGCUUCACUUGGUAGAAUCUCAAUUUGGCACACGCUCUGAGUUCUAAUGACAAUACAUGACUAGAAAAGAAACGUUAUACAAAUCCAAUAUGGCGGCCUCCUCAAGAUGGCGAACAGGCUAUUUGAAAUUAAAGAAAGAAAGAAAGAAAUAUCUUUAUUUUUAGGCAGUGACACACAUUACAAUAAUAAAUUUUAAAUAGUUAACUUAUAGCUAAGAAGAAGAACGCCCUGCAAUAUGUGGCAUAACCUAGAAAAAGGCCCUAACUCAGCAUUGCACCCCCAUGGUAUGGGUAUCAAAUGAAAAGGUUCUCUGCUAGAAAUACGAGAAAUAUCCAUUUUUAAUUAUUAGUGCGUGCUAAAAGCGUGUUUUUUAAACUUUUUUAUUGUUAUAAUUCCAGUGAACUAGUCCGCCUCAGCUUCUCGAUUCUUAUGCCACGUAGGAGGAAUGUUUCCCAAAGAAUAUUUAACUGCACAUUCAUACGCAAGUCUUCGUUACUCUCCUGGCAGCAAACCGAAGUAUACUAAUGAAAACUUUAAAAUGAAGUUAACUACCUCUUUUUCCUGUUCCGUGGUAAACAUUGAUCUACUUGUAUAACCUACGGGAGGAUUUUUACCAGCUUUCGUUUUUUUUGUACGAUGUAUCGAUUACGACAAUGUAAUGUCGUGUGGCAGAUUUUCAAGUUUUCUGGUUACCGUUUUUACUUUUUUCAAUCUUGUAUGACUUCAUUGGCAGCUAAGCGUUUUUCGUAAAUAGAAUAAAGCGAAAAAAAAUUCUGCCAACGAAGUGGUUAAAUCUCAUGAAGGUAAAUACAUUGUGUUUUAUUUAUCUAACCUAUUUAGAAUUAUUGUUUGCGUUCUCAAUAGAAUCCGAAUCUUUUUCCUGUUCCGUGGUAAACAUUGAUCUACUUGUAUAACCUACGGGAGGAUCUUUACCAGGUGUCGUUUUUUUGUACGAUGUAUCGAUUACGACGAUGUAAUGUCAUGUGGCAGAUUUUCAAGUUCUCUGGUUACCGUUUUUACUUUUUUCCAUCUUGUAUGACCACAUUGGCAGCUUGGCGUUUUUUGUAAAAAGACCAAAGCGACAAAAAAUUCUACCGAUAAAGUGGUUAAAUGUCAUGAAGGUAAAUACAUGGUGUUUUAUUUAUCUGACCUAUUUAAAAUUAUUGUUUGCGUUCCCAAUAGAAGGAAAACUUUAAAAUGAAGUUAACUACCUCUUUUUCCUGUUCCGUGGUAAACAUUGAUCUACUUGUAUAACCUACGGGAGGAUCUUUACCAGCUUUCGUUUUUUUUGUACGAUGUAUCGAUUACGACGAUGUAAUGUCAUGUGGCAGAUUUUCAAGUUCUCUGGUUACCGUUUUUACUUUUUUCCAUCUUGUAUGACCACAUUGGCAGCUUGGCGUUUUUUGUAAAAAGACCAAAGCGACAAAAAAUUCUACCGAUAAAGUGGUUAAAUGUCAUGAAGGUAAAUACAUGGUGUUUUAUUUAUCUGACCUAUUUAAAAUUAUUGUUUGCGUUCCCAAUAGAAGGAAAACUUUAAAAUGAAGUUAACUACCUCUUUUUCCUGUUCCGUGGUAAACAUUGAUCUACUUGUAUAACCUACGGGAGGAUCUUUACCAGCUUUCGUUUUUUUUGUACGAUGUAUCGAUUACGACGAUGUAAUGUCAUGUGGCAGAUUUUCAAGUUCUCUGGUUACCGUUUUUACUUUUUUCCAUCUUGUAUGACCACAUUGGCAGCUUGGCGUUUUUUGUAAAAAUACCAAAGCGACAAAAAAUUCUACCGAUAAAGUGGUUAAAUGUCAUGAAGGUAAAUACAUGGUGUUUUAUUUAUCUGACCUAUUUAAAAUUAUUGUUUGCGUUCCCAAUAGAAGGAAAACUUUAAAAUGAAGUUAACUACCUCUUUUUCCUGUUCCGUGGUAAACAUUGAUCUACUUGUAUAACCUACGGGAGGAUCUUUACCAGCUUUCGUUUUUUUUUGUACGAUGUAUCGAUUACGACGAUGUAAUGUCAUGUGGCAGAUUUUCAAGUUCUCUGGUUACCGUUUUUACUUUUUUCCAUCUUGUAUGACCACAUUGGCAGCUUGGCGUUUUUUGUAAAAAGACCAAAGCGACAAAAAAUUCUACCGAUAAAGUGGUUAAAUGUCAUGAAGGUAAAUACAUGGUGUUUUAUUUAUCUGACCUAUUUAGAAUUAUUGUUUGCGUUCCCAAUAGAAGGAAAGCCUACCUUCAUUAUAACUGAAUGACAUAUAUGAAUAAAUGAGAACUUAUUCAUAAAUGUGCUCCGCUCCUGAUACUUAUACUAUAUUCCAAUGCAAUCAUAACCGAUUUACAUUUUUUUUUGAAUUGCAGAAACUAUACCUUUACCACCAAACAAACAAACAAAAAGAGAAAGUUGCAGAACCGUCCAGUAUUUCGGAUUGUAAUUUUACAAGGCAGCCAAGUUUGAAACGCAAAUCUGCACACUUUAGCGUUCCUCCUUAAAUUAUUUCGGAUUGUAAUUUUACAAGGCAGCCAAGUUUGAAACGCAAAUCUGCACACGAUGGCAUUCCUCCGUCCAGUGUUUCGGAUUGCAACUUUACAAGGCAGCCGAGUUUGAAACGCAAAUAUGUACACUUUGCCGUUCCUCCGUCCAGUGUUUCGGAUUGUAACUUUACAAGGCAGCUAAGUUUGAAAUGCAAAUCUGCACACGAUGACGUUCCUCCGUCCAUUUUUUCGGAUUGCGACUUUACAAGGCAGCAAAGUAUGAAACGCAAAUCUGCACACAUUUUCGUUGACAUUCAGGUGAAUAAGGUCAAUAUUAACUAAUCUAUACUAAUAUUAUAAAGCUGAAGAGAGAAUACCACCAAACAAAGAAAAAGAGGAAGUUGCAGAACCGACCAGUGUUUUGAAAAGUUAUUGUUGUGCUAUCUUGAGGGUGCCUUUGGUAAAGGCUUUACAAUUUGAGGAUUAAACACAGCUGAAGCAUUUGUCUUUCCUGAUGUUAAUUGAAGUGCAUGGGCACUAUUAAUAGUCACAGAGGCAGCCUGAGAUACAUCACCUUGAUCUGUGGCAGAUUGUUGAGAUGGUUCACCAAUCUGACCCGAUGUUGAAGUCUUUUAUUUUCAAAUUUAUUUGAGGUAAUAUUUGAAUGCUACGAUUCCGGGAAUUUCAUAAAUUGACAUUGUUUUUCCCGAAUUAUUUCGUAGCCAGUUGUCUUGAGCAUGAGCACAGUACGAUUUAAAUAGCCCAUUGAUGCCCACAUCCAGUGGCUGUAGCCUGUGUGUGCAGUGAGAUGGGAACGACAUCAUUUUUAUUGAGUUUGCUUUAGCUUUCUCAACUUCGUUGGUGUCUAUGUGUGACGAGGGAUUGUCUGUUAUUUAAUAGUAACACUGGAUCUAUCUGGAGUGGGUUUCGUGAACUUGAUCAAGUGAUCCAUAUAUGUGAGGAAUUCAGUGGCAGUCAUCCAUCCUGAUUUAUUCCCAGCUUCAAUUGACUCAGAGGGCCCAUCUCUUAAAACCAAGUCUUUAAAUUUUAAACGGAGAAAGACAAACAGGUGGAACCGUAUUUCCUGCGACACUUGCUACUAACUAAAGUCCCACGCUCUGCGGAAACUAUAGCACCAACCUUUGUUUUGUGCCUUUUUAAGCUACUAUCUUCUCCGGCUUUAAAACAGUUGUGACUCCAGUCUCGUCCAGGUUCCAUAUUCUGGAAGGAGAUAUCUUAUAUUAGUAAAGAAUAUCGCCGAGUUUUGUUAAAAAAAAAAUCAUCUAUUUCCUUUUUAACACGCUUAUAUUAGCUUCACUUGGUAGAAUCUCAAUUUGGCACACGCUCUGAAUUCUAAUGACAAUACAUGACUAGAAAAGAAACGUUAUACAAAUCCAAUAUGGCGGCCUCCUCAAGAUGGCGAACAGGCUAUUUGAAAUGAAAGAAAGAAAGAAAUAUCUUUAUUUUAGGCAGUGCCACACAUUACAAUAAUAAAUUUUAAAUAUAUAGUUUAUAGCUAAAGCAAAAAAAGAAGAACGCCCUGCAAUAUGUGGCAUAACCUAGAAAAAGGCCCUAACUCAGCAUUGCACCCCCAUGGUAUGGGUAUCAAAUGAAAAGGUUCUCUGCUAGAAAGACGAGAAAUAUCCAUUUUUAAUUAUUAGUGCGUGCUAAAAGCGCGUUUUUUAAACAUUUUUAUUGUUAUAAUUCCAGUGAACUAGUCCGCCUCAGCUUCUCGAUUCUUAUGCCACGUAGGAGGAAUGUUUCCCAAAGAAUAUUUAACUGCACAUUCAUACGCAAGUCUUCGUUACUCUCCUGGCAGCAAACCGAAGUAUACUAAUGAAAACUUUAAAAUGAAGUUAACUACCUCUUUUUCCUGUUCCGUGGUAAACAUUGAUCUACUUGUAUAACCUACGGGAGGAUUUUUACCAGCUUUCGUUUUUUUUGUACGAUGUAUCGAUUACGACAAUGUAAUGUCGUGUGGCAGAUUUUCAAGUUCUCUGGUUACCGUUUUUACUUUUUUCCAUCUUGUAAGACCACAUUGGCAGCUUGGCGUUUUUCGUAAAAAGACCAAAGCGACAAAAAUUUCUGCCGAUAAAGUGGUUAAAUGUCAUGAAGGUAAUUACAUGGUGUUUUAUUUAUCUGACCUAUUUAGAAUUAUUGUUUGCGUUCCCAAUAGAAGGAAAGCCUACCUUCAUUAUAACUGAAUGACAUAUAUGAAUAAAUGAGAACUUAUUCAUAAAUAUGCUCCGCUCCUGAUACUUAUACUAUUUUCCAAUGCAAUCAUAACUGAUUUACAUUUUUUUUUGAAUUGCAGAAACUAUACCUUUACCACCAAACAAACAAACAAAAACAGAAAGUUGCAGAACCGUCCACUAUUUCGGAUUGUAAUUUUACAAGGCAGCCAAGUUUGAAACGUAAAUCUGCACACUCUGGCGUUCCUCCGCCCAGUAUUUCGGAUUGUAAUUUUACAAGGCAGCCAAGUUUGAAACGCAAAUCUGCACACUUUGGCGUUCCUCCGUCUAGUGUUUCGGAUUGUAACUUUACAAGGCAGCCAAGUUUGAAACGCAAAUCUGCACACGAUGGCGUUCCUCCGUCCAGUAUUUCGGAUUGUAAUUUUACAAGGCAGCCAAGUUUGAAACGCAAAUCUGCACACGAUGGCGUUCCUCCGUCCAGUGUUUCGGAUUGCGACUUUACAAGUUAGCCAAGUUUGAAACGCAAAUCUGUAGAAGUAUAAAAAUGAAAACUUUUAAAUGAAGUUAACUACCUCUUUUUCCUGUUUCGUGGUAAACAUUGAUCUACUUGUAUAACCUACGGUAGGAUCUUUACCUGCUCUCAUAUUUCUUACAAAUCGAUGUAAUGUCAUGUGGCAAAUUUUCAGUUCUGGCUACCGUUUUUACUUUUUUAUAUCUUGUAUGACCACAUUGGCAGCUUGGCGUAAUAACAUUUCGGAUGUUUAUCCUCUCAGUAUUCCGUUCUACCAUCCUAAUAAUAUGAAAAGUAUACCGUACAAAUGUAUAGAAAAUUUACGUAACCCGGGAACAACCAGCCCCUGCCUCCCCUGCCGUUCAGUUAUGGUUUUUAUCAAAUCAUUUACAUUUGAUUUUGAAAAUUCAUUCAAUUUGAAAAUUGUCUAAUUUGUUGAAAAUGUACGUGUUCGAACAACUUUUUCCCAAUAAAUUUAAUCUUUUCAAAAAAACCUGCCCAUCCAUUGUUCGAAUAACAACGUAAGCUAUUUUACAGAUUUUGAUUACAUCGCUAGAUGGAUACAUGAGCCUCUUUAUUUUUGGCUACAAUAAAUGUAUUAAGAGAGCACCAACACAAACAUCUCUAGUAUUUUUUUUUAUCAAUACACGUGUAAUGUUUUCCGAAAUUAUAUGCUAUUAUUUGGAAACUAAACUCAGUCAAACUUUUUAAAAAUUCGCCAAUUUCUUGUUCGUCUGAAUCAUCAUAAAUCCAUUCUUCAUUUGACACUGAAUCGGUAGAUAUUUUAUUUAUUCGCCCUGCCGCAGAAGAGCAGCAAGGAUUGAUAAAUUUUAAUAUACGAGUAUGUAUGUCUCAUGUAAAAGAAAAAUACUUUUUACUGUUCAUCUCAUCUAAAUUUUUAUAAGCAUAUUAUUAGAUUAAAAUAGAAAAACUAAAACGACAGCGAGAGAACAGAAUCAAUCUCUUUAAUCAAAAAAGUCAUCAAUUAGCACAGACUGCCUUAAAAUACUACCAAAAUACUAUACUUGUAUUACUUGUAUUGUUGCCAUAUUCCAAAAAUAAAUGUCCCAAUGCAGUACAAUUUUCCAAACCAAUAUCUUUGAAUAUAUCUCAACAAGGACCGAAAGCUUUUUAUAUGCCGCUACGAAUCGUCGAGCUGUUGGGUUAUUAUUUGUUCCACCAUGUGCUUCAAUAUUCCAAAAUAAAAGCUCUAGAUCUUGACUAAGCUUUUAAAAUGAUAAAUAGUUAAAUAUUUUUCUUGAAUCAAAUUGACAUAAAUAUUUUAAUGAUCCUGCACAUCCCAAAAGUCCCAAAAAUCCAGGUUUUUCGAGGACUUUUUAUUAAAAGAACACCAUCUGUCGUUUUAAGACUUGAAAUAUACGAUGCAUUGCUUUCAUUCUUCUUUUUCUUUAAAACCCAUAAUGAAAAAUAUUUCGUGAAUUGAAUAUGUCAAACAUAAUAUUAAUUAAUAAAAGAAAAUGUUCUGUAGCUUGACAGUCUUUAAAUCUUUACGGCAAAAUUGCAUGGUCUCUUACUUUUAACAUUAACGCUAAAAAGCUGUGUGGCUAAUUUCAGUUUGAUCCUCUGAUUAUAAAAAUCGAUAUGGCGGUUUCUGAGGUCAUUAGACUAAUGAAACUUUUCGUUUUCUUGUAUUUUAUUAAGCCCUACUACUUAUUUAUUUCUAAUAUUGCCACUGCAAUUUAUUUCCAUCUUUGUCAAUAAAUAUUUUGGCUGCUUGAAAUGUAUUUCUCAAAAGUUUUGCCAUUAUGGCAAGAAUCGAGUUUGUUGACUAAAGUUGCUUUUGUUAUAGGAUGUUCUAAUUGUACAUUUCCAUUUUAAAAAGAACACUGUUGUGGACAAGAACAGUAAAGUGGUGAAGAACAAUAAAUGUUGUGUCAUGACAUAUUCGCUGCGUAUCCAUCAAAUGUUAAGGCCACAAUUUUAAUGCCGGAAUCGUAGACAAGUUUAAGACAAAGCUCAACGACCACACCAUGGAAAAGCCCACGGGUACCUUAAAUUUGCUGUUUAUCGUGCGUAUUAUGCGUAUCCUCUACCAAGAUCAAGAUGCGCAGCGAAUAUAUUUAACGUACACAAUUCUUAAUUUGUAAGAAAGACAGUUAGAUUUUUGAUAUUGCUAUAUCAAUUUCAUUCACAUUGUUUAAUGCAUAGAUCUUGGUAUAUAACAGCGGAUACGCGACAUGAAAUUAUUUUAGAGGUUUCUGGUUGUCAUGUUUUAUCGAUAAUAAUGAAAAACCCCUUACAUUAGUAAGGGGUGAGUUAGCUUGGGCUGGGGCUUCUCGAAGGACCAGACGUCUAAUGAAGUUGGAGCAGGGAUUGGGUUAUAGGGACCAGAUUUGGGGUGAAAUGAUAAGUGCUUGGAAGGUACCUUGAUGCGCUCAUGAUGAGAUGAGAUAGCGGGCGGCGGGUCUCGCUGUGCUGGCUGAAGACUUCGAUGUGCAGGAAGCUGGCCACCGCGUGUGGCGCCUGGUGCAGUGGAAACCGGUGAUAGCGUCAAAUGUUUCACAACACUGAAUUUACUUUUGCGCGGAUUUGAGUUUUGUGCGACUCGAGUGAAUAACACUGAAUUUAACUGAAGGUUUUAGGUGAAUUUAAUAAGAAUUGCACCGAGAGGUGUGCCGACACGCCGCGUUCCGACCAGAGAGACGAUAGAAGAUUGUGAGAAAAAAAUGGCCGACGUUAUUCCAGGAAAUCCGUCUAUGGUCUGCAGUGUUGCCAUUUUCGAGUCGUCACGCAUUUAGUGGGAACAUACUCGAUGUAAGGUUAUAAAAAUAUUAAGUAAAUUUGUGAAAUUUAAAUGCAAUGUACUUACUAUUGUAUUUUAGAAUAUUGUAUAAUAUAAAAAUCUAUACUUACAUUGUAAUAUCUUAUUGCGAAAAUGUAUUUUUAUUGCUACCUUAAAACCAAAUUUUGAUAAAAUAAAAUGGGCUGUGGCUGUGUCAUGGACACGGCGGAAUUGUUGUACGUGAAUACGUAAUUGGUUAAAUUCGUGAUGAACGGAAUCUCUUUUUAUAGGUCCUUUAUAGAUUUUAGCAUUUGGAAAUGUAAGUGAAUUCACAUUUAGUGUAUCAAAAAGGUUAUCCAUAGUUAAUACAAAUGGUAUAAUAUUUCUACAUUCGUUUUGUAGAACACAUCGUGAUGUAGGAUGUUCUAAAGCAGUUCGCAGUGCUACGGCUGAACAUUUGUGCUGCUAAUUUCACUCUCAUCUUUUGUAUUUUAUCUGGAUGAACAUGUUCUUCACUUUACUUUUGGAAAAAUCUUAAUUCUUCAAUCUAUUUGCUACAUAAUAGUUGAUGAAAAUAGUCCCAUUUAACAAUUUUUGUUUUAUCUUCAUCUUCAAAAUCAGUAUAGAUUAAAUUUAUUGUCAACAAAUUGUUUCGCAUACCUUUAAGGAGGUGAGGUGGGUCGAAAAAAAGACUUUUUUUUUGUUUGCCAAUUUUAAAAUAAUCAUUUUCAAAUUGCAAAUUUUUCUUAAUACACAUUUCUUUAGUAUCUUUGAUCAGUUCAUUAAUGGCACUGACAUUCACAGUGCUUUGAUCGCACACUGUACAUAAAUUAACAGGCCAGUUUUUGUUAUUUUCUGUAUAACAUCUUUUAAUAUAUUUUUAGUUUGCUUAAAAUGUUUCUUUAUACCUUUGACUAUGAAGACUAGGGCAUGGUUUGCAAUGAUUUUCUUCCCAUUACUGACAAAUCUCCUCAAUUUAUCUUUCGAGGAUUUUCGAUAAGGACGCUAGUCCAUUAAUUAGCAACAACAAAAAUAUUUUAUUACAAAAUAAGUUAUUGGUGGUAAAGAAACUGAACAUACGAGUAGUUAUUGAAGUUUCAGGCUAAUGAACUAAGAAUUCAGAAGAAUUCUUAGUUAAUCAUCCUGAUUUUCGUGAUAUUCAUUGUUUGCUGAAGUUGUUGGCCAUGCAAAAAUCUCUGUAUAGAAAGGGGAAUGUCCACCAGCCCAUACAACGUCGGCCCAAGAAA
Molecule: long non-coding RNA, 29603 nt
Organism: Bicyclus anynana (squinting bush brown)
Lineage: Eukaryota; Metazoa; Arthropoda; Insecta; Lepidoptera; Nymphalidae
Exons: 3
Source: RefSeq, a predicted model, not a curated record